UUCGGUGGUAAUAGUGCUGUGGUUCCACCUCUUCCCUUUUCGAACAGAGAAGUUAAGCACAGUUACGCCAAUGGUACUGAGAAAUCGGGAGAGUAGGAAACUGCCAAAA
Molecule: ribosomal RNA, 109 nt
Filed under: Bacteroides fragilis
Lineage: Bacteria; Pseudomonadati; Bacteroidota; Bacteroidia; Bacteroidales; Bacteroidaceae
Also listed under: 1 other name
Source: RNAcentral